Molecule: ribosomal RNA, 429 nt
Filed under: Bacteroidota bacterium
Lineage: Bacteria; Pseudomonadati; Bacteroidota
Description: Bacteroidetes bacterium partial 16S ribosomal RNA
Rfam family: Bacterial small subunit ribosomal RNA
Source: RNAcentral
UAGGGAAUCUUCCGCAAUGGACGCAAGUCUGACGGAGCAACGCCACGUGAGUGAAGAAGGAUUUCGGUUCGUAAAACUCUGUUGUUAGAGAAGAACAGCGCAUAGAGUAACUGUUAUGCGUGUGACGGUAUCUAACCAGAAAGCCACGGCUAACUACGUGCCAGCAGCCGCGGUAAUACGUAGGUGGCAAGCGUUGUCCGGAUUUAUUGGGCGUAAAGCGAGCGCAGGCGGUCAAUUAAGUCUGAUGUGAAAGCCCCCGGCUCAACCGGGGAGGGUGAUUGGAAACUGGUUGACUUGAGUGCAGAAGAGGAGAGUGGAAUUCCAUGUGUAGCGGUGAAAUGCGUAGAUAUAUGGAGAAACACCAGUGGCGAAGGCGACUCUCUGGUCUGUAACUGACGCGGAGGUUCGAAAGCGUGGGUAGCAAACAGG